AUCCCUCCAGUGCGGCGGCGGGUGGCAGCGGCCGGCUUCUGGUUCGUCUUCUCCGGCGAGGGCAGGCGGCUAGGGUUUGGGGUCUGGUGUGGGGGUCUUAUUUAUACCCUUUUGCCUUUUGAUCUCAGCCGUCCAUUUUGUUUUAAUCUGGGCCGUCCGUGCGAUUAAAUCUGGGCCGUCCGUGCGCGCGAUUGAUCUGGACCAUCCGAUCGCGCGCACGCGGAUCGCCAACAUGGCCCGUCCCCGGUCGACGGGGUUUUGCCACGUGGCAGGUCCUGGUUGGCCAGGACUGUUGACUGGGUCUGC
RNAcentral lists this long non-coding RNA (306 nucleotides) under Carica papaya (papaya). RNAcentral's name for it is "long non-coding RNA (CPAP_LNC016433)". The record is from RNAcentral. Lineage: Eukaryota; Viridiplantae; Streptophyta; Magnoliopsida; Brassicales; Caricaceae.